RNAcentral lists this unclassified non-coding RNA (208 nucleotides) under uncultured Agaricus. Its description in RNAcentral is "sequence contains ITS2". Lineage: Eukaryota; Fungi; Basidiomycota; Agaricomycetes; Agaricales; Agaricaceae. The record is from RNAcentral.
AAUUCUCAACUCUCUUAUACUUUUUGGUAAAGGAGAGCUUGGAUUGUGGAGGCUUGCUGGCUACUUGUUUGUGGUCAGCUCCUCUGAAAUGCAGUAGCGGAACCAUUUGCGAUCUGCCACAAGUGUGAUAAGUUAUCUACACUGGCGAGGGGAUUGCUCUGUGUUGUUCUGCUUCCAAUUGUCUACUUCGUGAGACUACUUAUUGUAU